RNAcentral lists this ribosomal RNA (429 nucleotides) under Streptomyces galilaeus. Its description in RNAcentral is "bacterial SSU rRNA". It matches the Rfam family "Bacterial small subunit ribosomal RNA", at positions 61 to 510 of the family's 1533-position model. The record is from RNAcentral. Lineage: Bacteria; Bacillati; Actinomycetota; Actinomycetes; Kitasatosporales; Streptomycetaceae.
GUCGACGAUGAGCCCUUCGGGGUGGAUUAGUGGCGAACGGGUGAGUAACACGUGGGCAAUCUGCCCUUCACUCUGGGACAAGCCCUGGAAACGGGGUCUAAUACCGGAUAACACUCCUGCUCUCAUGGGCAGGGGUUGAAAGCUCCGGCGGUGAAGGAUGAGCCCGCGGCCUAUCAGCUUGUUGGUGAGGUAAUGGCUCACCAAGGCGACGACGGGUAGCCGGCCUGAGAGGGCGACCGGCCACACUGGGACUGAGACACGGCCCAGACUCCUACGGGAGGCAGCAGUGGGGAAUAUUGCACAAUGGGCGAAAGCCUGAUGCAGCGACGCCGCUGAGGGAUGACGGCCUUCGGGUUGUAAACCUCUUUCAGCAGGGAAGAAGCGAAAGUGACGGUACCUGCAGAAGAAGCGCCGGCUAACUACGUGCCA